GUCCUCGGUGACUCAAUUGGAUAGAGCAUCUGCCUUGUAAGCAGGAGGUCCCGGGUUCGAGUCCCGGUCAGGGCA
This is a non-coding RNA of Schistocerca nitens (vagrant locust), 75 nucleotides long. NCBI's taxonomy places the organism in Eukaryota, Metazoa, Arthropoda, Insecta, Orthoptera, Acrididae. The record is from the annotation of a RefSeq genome assembly.